CUUUACUUUUUGUUCCUCUUUCAAUAGAUUUUGAUUUACUUUUUAUUCCUUCUUUCAAUAGAUUUUGAUUUGUUGACUCUUUUCGUUUCUUCUCUCACUAUAUUUUGAUUUGGAUUUGAAUUUUUACUGUUCACUCAAUUUACUUCACUCGAUUUGUGUGUUUAUGGUGACCCUUUUGCUUAGAUUUUGAGAGUUGAAUGUGUUAUGAUGCUUAGAUUUUGAGUGUAUAACGAUUUUGUUUUGUCUUGAGAUGUAUAAUGAUUUUGUUCACUGAUAAUUUUGAGCUUUUGACUUUUGCUUCUCAUGUUCAAGGAUUUGACUUUUGCUUUUUUUUGUAAUGAUCUUUUGCUGGGUAUGAUUUUUCUACAAAAUUAAAGAAACACAUAUUAACUGAAAUUGUAGUCCAUAGAUAGUCACAUAAUACACAAUUCGCAUCGGUACGCGGUACGGGUUUGGGUUCGCGGUGAGCGACAUAAGAAGAAUUUGGUGUGUAUGGGGUAUAGAGUUUCGGUACACUCGUUAUUUUAGUAAAAAUAUAAAGUAUUUGUCAAAAGAUAGAAAUAUAGUGUAGACACCUGACUUGGAAUGAAUAGAUGACUAACUGACUUGACUUAUUGAUACUAAGCUAAAAGGAUACCUGACUUUGCUACCUUUAAUUCCUACUUUAUUAGAGGGAAACAGAUCCCUCAAAUUUUCCAAUGAUACAUAGAUGUUAUUUUGUAAUUAAAAUCUGUAGUUAUUGAGUUUGGUUAGCUAUUAAAAGUUGGAACAACAAUUGCAGAAGUUUGUAGUACUUGUUUACCUCCAUCAUAUUAACUCAAACUCAGCACAAGACGUGCUAAACGGGAAGUCAAUGUUAGAACAAAAAUAUCUACUUUUGUCUGCAAUCUAAUUUGGAUUUUGUGAAUAUGCUUUUAUUAAUUUGUGGCUUUUGUGACAAAUUGACAUGAGCAUGGUAUAUGAGCCUCGUAUGGGGAUGAUGAGAAUGGAACGUUGGGAGCGUGCAAGGAAGCUUGGUUCAAAACCCCAGCAGGAAAUCGAUAGCUGAAUAUCUCGUGCUUCCGAUUUUUUCUGUCGAUUCUGCACUGAGCAUUUGCGUUGACUAUCCUCAUCUCUCAUGAAUCAGGAAAUCAUUUGUUAGAGGUAGCUUUAACCACUAGACGUUGGAUCGCUUGUCAUGAGUACCUUUGCAGUUUGGAAAAUUGUCAAUAUUAUCGUAGUUUAGUUUCGGUUGUUGGUCGUUGAUCAGAGCCCACAACAGAGAUACUGCAGAGGCAAUUGUUUGUGGGAAAAUCAAGAAGCACAUGAAAAACCAAGGAAGUGUAUGUAUGCCACUCUCUUGCCUCCUUGUGCAACUUGUGUUUGUGUUGAAGAUCUGAAGGCAUUAUAUGUUUGGUUCUAUGUUUGAAUUGUUCAGCGACCACAAGAGUUUGAAGUACUUGUUCGAUCAGAAGGAGUUGAAUAUGAGGCAGAGGAGGUGAUUGGAAUUUCUUAAGGAUUAUGAUUUUUAGUUAAAGUUAUCAUCCUGGAAAGGCGAAUGUAGUAGCAGAUGCUUUGAGUAAGAAUUCUUUGCAUAUGUCUACUUUGAUGGUUAAAGAGUUGGAGUUGACUGAGCAGUUUCGGGAUUUGAGUUUGGUAAGUGAGUUGACGUUGGAUGGUGUGAAGUUGGGAAUGUUCUAGUUGACGAGUAAUAUUUUGGAAGAGAUUAAGAAUGGUGAGAAAGAGGAUUUGUAACUUGUAGAUCGUUUGGUGUUUGUUGAUCAAAGAAAACGUGAGGACAAAAGAUUGGAUGAAAAUGAUGUUUUGAUGUUUCAUGAUCGAGUUUGUGUACCGAAUGUACUUAAGCUUAAGAAGCGGAUUUUGGAAGAAGGUCACAUGAGUAGUCUGAGUUUCCAUCCAAAAGCGACGAAAAUGUACCAGGAUUUAAAGAGGUUGUUUUGGUGGCCUGGAAUGAAGAAGGAUAUAGCAGAGUUUGUGUAUGCUUGUUUGGUUUUUCAAAAGUCGAAGAUUGAACAUCAAAAGUCGUCGGGUUUGAUGCAACCGUUGUUUGUGC
Long non-coding RNA from Medicago truncatula (barrel medic), 2053 nucleotides. RefSeq lists it as uncharacterized. The record is from RefSeq and is a predicted model, not a curated record. The transcript is spliced from 6 exons. Lineage: Eukaryota; Viridiplantae; Streptophyta; Magnoliopsida; Fabales; Fabaceae.